CACACACACACACACACACACACACACACACACACGCUCACCAAUGCAUACAUGUAAGCAACAUAAGACACACAAAUGCAUCCAACAAGUUUGUGGUCACAAGCUUGAUGUAAUCAUUGUGUGCUAGGAAUAUGGGACCUAUACAAAACAUUUGACUACUUUAAUACACAUUAGUGAAUUUGUCCCAAUCAUUUUGGUCCCCUAAAAUGGGGGGACUACAGUAUGUACAAAAAGUGCUGACAUUUCUAAACGGCUAACCUGAUAUGAUCCUCAAAUUACAGUUUUUUUCCAAUUGCUAACACACUAAAAUGACAUGCACAGCACAAUUAUUUAAACUGACACACAGAGAGCAAAACCUCUUCUCAAGUCUCCAAAAGUCUAAACACUUUUUCUGCUUUACACACAUUUUGCAAUUCAAAAUGGCACUUUUUAAAUGCACUGCACAUGGUUCUCUGCAUAAGACACAACAAUCUGACAUAAAGUCACAUGUUUGCCAUUUCAAACACUGCCAUUCAAAAUGACACUACAUGAGCUAAUUGGCCAAUACAUGUGCCACCUGGCCAAACACCUCAAUGGUUAAAUGUUACCACUUCAAUCAGGAAGUAAGCACUAUGAAAAGGCCACAGGUGAGCACCUUUUGUUUUACAACAACAAUGGAAGCCGUUGCAGAGAGAGGAAGAGGAAGAGGAAGAGGGAGGGUGAGAAUGAGAGGGGGAGGAAGAGUGAGAGGUAUGGGUAGAGCUGGUAGAGGAGUUCACGGCCAAAGAAGACAACUUUCAAAUGAAAUCAGAGCAACCUUAGUUGAUCAUGUCAUCAACCAUGGGCUGACAAUGUGAGAGGCUGGACAGAGAGUGCAGCCCAACUUGAGCCAUUUUACUGUCGCCUGUGUCAUUGAGACUGGAGUACAGGACUGAGAGACGCAACCAUGGUAGAGGAAGGGGCCAAAUGUUCACCGGGGUACAGGAAGCUGCCAUUGUAAACUUGGUUUUGGAAAAUAAUGAAAUCAGAUUACAAGAAAUUCAAAGCCACAUCAUCCAAGACAACACCAUAUUCAACAACAUUCAACGAGUCAGUCUGUCCACAUUGGCUCGCAUUCUCAAGUGAAACCAAAUCAGAAUGAAACAACUUUAUAAGGUGCCGUUUGAGAGAAACUCUCAAAGAAACAAAGAGGUCAGACGAGCAUAUGUGGAUGGAGUACUGGAAAUGGAUGCUCAUGCAAUCCCACAUGAGUUCAUCUUUAUAGAUGAGGCUGGGUUCAAUCUAGCAAAGACCAGAAGAAGGGGGAGAAACGUCAUUGGCCACAGAGCCAUUAUAGAUGUUCCUGGCCAACGUGGUGGGAACAUCACAAUGUGUGCUGCCAUCUCCAAUACGCAUGGUGUCCUCCACCGGAAUGCCAACCUUGGACCAUACAACACAGCCCAUAUUCUCACAUUUCUGGACAGACUCCACAACAUUCUCAUACCACCAGAGCGUAUGAAUGAUGCAGACCAUCAAAGAACCCGGUACGUUGUAGUAUGGGACAACAUGAGCUUUCAUUGUGCAGCCCCAGUCCAAAACUGGUUUGCUGACCACCCACCAUUUCUCGUGCAAUACCUCCCACCAUACUCACCAUUUCUGAACCUCAUAGAAGAGUUGUUUUCGGCAUGGCGAUGGAAGGAAUACGACUGGCAGCCCUUUGUGAACAUGCCUCUUGUGCAGGCUAUGGAAGAGGCACGUGAUGAGAUUGAUGUGGGUGCGAUUCAGGGAUGGAUAAGGCACUCAAGGCACUUCUUCCCUCGAUGUCUGGCAAGGGAAGAUAUUGCCUGUGAUGUGGACGAGGCGUUGUGGCCAGACCCAGCUGUGAUGUGGACAAGGCGUUGUGGCCAGACCCAGCUGUGAUGUGGACGAGGCGUUGUG
Long non-coding RNA from Oncorhynchus mykiss (rainbow trout), 1896 nucleotides. RefSeq lists it as uncharacterized. Lineage: Eukaryota; Metazoa; Chordata; Actinopteri; Salmoniformes; Salmonidae. The record is from RefSeq and is a predicted model, not a curated record.